This 468-nucleotide ribosomal RNA is filed under the name uncultured bacterium. RNAcentral's name for it is "partial 16S ribosomal RNA". It matches the Rfam family "Bacterial small subunit ribosomal RNA", at positions 28 to 507 of the family's 1533-position model. The record is from RNAcentral.
GACGAACGCUGGCGGCGUGCUUAACACAUGCAAGUCGAACGGAAAGGCCCUGCUUUUGUGGGGUGCUCGAUUGGCGAACGGGUGAGUAACACGUGAGUAACCUGCCCUUGACUUUGGGAUAACUUCAGGAAACUGGGGCUAAUACCGGAUAGGAUCUCCUGCUGCAUGGUGGGGGUUGGAAAGUUUCGGCGGUUGGGGAUGGACUCGCGGCUUAUCAGCUUGUUGGUGGGGUAGUUGCUUACCAAGGCUUUGACGGGUAGCCGGCCUGAGAGGGUGACCGGCCACAUUGGGACUGCGAUAAGGCCCAGACUCCUACGGGAGGCAGCAGUGGGGAAUAUUGCACAAUGGGCGGAAGCCUGAUGCAGAAACGCCGCGUGCGGGAUGACGGCCUUCGGGUUGUAAACCGAUUUCGCCUGUGACGAAGAGUGAGUGACGGUAAUGGGUAAAGAAGCACCGGCUAACUACGUG